Molecule: RNase P RNA, 450 nt
Filed under: Anaerolineae bacterium
Lineage: Bacteria; Bacillati; Chloroflexota; Anaerolineae
Description: RNase P RNA component class A
Rfam family: Bacterial RNase P class A
About the family: Ribonuclease P (RNase P) is a ubiquitous endoribonuclease, found in archaea, bacteria and eukarya as well as chloroplasts and mitochondria. Its best characterised activity is the generation of mature 5'-ends of tRNAs by cleaving the 5'-leader elements of precursor-tRNAs. Cellular RNase Ps are ribonucleoproteins.
Source: RNAcentral
UGAGUCGGUUAAGUGAUCGCGCUCUGCUCCGUGAAGCACUGACACACACACCGAAAUCAUAUGGAGCAGAGUGAGGAAAGUCCGGACUCCACAGGAUACGAUGCCGGGUAACACCCGGGCGAGGCGACUCGUGGACAGGGCCACAGAAACAAACCGCGGCUUCAACCUUUGGUUGAAACGUAAGGGUGAAAAGGUGGUGUAAGAGACCACCGGCACUUCGGGUAACCGGAGUGGCCAGGCAACCCCCAUCGGGAGCAAGGCCAAGCAGGGAGGAAGGUGUGCCGGGCACAGUUCGGCGUACCGGGGAGCGAUCCGUUCCCUCUUUCCCAAAAGCAACUUCCGGGUAGGUCGCACGAGGUAUCAGGUAACUGUUAUCCUAGAUAGAUGAUCACCAAGCCUGUAAGGAGACUUACAGGCGUACAAAAUCCGGCUUACCGACUAACUCAGACU